Molecule: unclassified non-coding RNA, 583 nt
Filed under: Zea mays
Lineage: Eukaryota; Viridiplantae; Streptophyta; Magnoliopsida; Poales; Poaceae
Description: misc RNA Zm00001eb130360
Source: RNAcentral
CCACGCGUCGCUCUCUCUCGCUGGACGUCAUCUCCCAGCCGAUCCCUCCCAUGGCUGCCUCUCCUCCAUCUCCCUCCCUCCCUGUGUGGUGUCCAGCCGAUGCUCUCUCCCAUGGACGCCCUCCCCCUCUUGCAGCAAGUCAGCAACCCCAUCUCCUCUGCCCUCCAUCCCCAGCUCGCCCCUCAACCAUGGAUACUGCCAGCCCUGGCACUCGCCCUCUGCACGCCAUUGCUCUCCUUCCUGCAGCAAGCCCCAUCUCUACUGGCGCUCUAAUUUUCAGUCAUCCCGCAUGGCCGGCGUCCUCCCCAUUUUCUACAGGUACGUUAAUUAAUCACGUGAUGUGGAGAAUAAGAGAUGGGUUGAUCACAAGAUGAUGCUAAUGGACGAAGCUAAAGAUGAUAAAUCAACCAAGUGCCAGGAUGGGAGGUGCUCGCCAAGCGAGUAUCAUCUAACAACACUGACGUAGUGUUUAUUCUAGGUACUAGAUUUGUGUUGCUAUGGAUGGUGUUAAGCACCGGUGGGCACGACCUUCUUAUAAGCCUAAGUACCUCUCCUAUACUUCUUAUUGAGGAUUAUCAUUGAG